AUUGAACGCUGGCGGCAUGCCUUACACAUGCAAGUCGAACGGCAGCGGACCUUCGGGUGCCGGCGAGUGGCGAACGGGUGAGUAAUAUAUCGGAACGUACCUUUCAGUGGGGGAUAACGUAGCGAAAGUUACGCUAAUACCGCAUAUUCUGUGAGCAGGAAAGCAGGGGAUCGCAAGACCUUGCGCUGAUUGAGCGGCCGAUAUCAGAUUAGCUAGUUGGUGAGGUAAAGGCUCACCAAGGCGACGAUCUGUAGCGGGUCUGAGAGGAUGAUCCGCCACACUGGAACUGAGACACGGUCCAGACUCCUACGGGAGGCAGCGGUGGGGAAUUUUGGACAAUGGGCGCAAGCCUGAUCCAGCCAUGCCGCGUGAGUGAAGAAGGCCUCGGUUGUAAG
Molecule: ribosomal RNA, 395 nt
Filed under: uncultured bacterium
Lineage: Bacteria
Description: bacterial SSU rRNA
Rfam family: Bacterial small subunit ribosomal RNA
Source: RNAcentral